Molecule: transfer RNA, 63 nt
Filed under: Xenos vesparum
Lineage: Eukaryota; Metazoa; Arthropoda; Insecta; Strepsiptera; Xenidae
Description: tRNA-Leu
Source: RNAcentral
GUUACUUUGGCAGAUUAGUGCAAUAAAUUUAGAUUUUAUAUAUAUAUACUAGUAUAAGUAAUA